This 497-nucleotide ribosomal RNA is filed under the name uncultured bacterium. RNAcentral's name for it is "partial 16S ribosomal RNA". It matches the Rfam family "Bacterial small subunit ribosomal RNA", at positions 28 to 507 of the family's 1533-position model. The record is from RNAcentral.
GAUGAACGCUGGCGGCGUGCCUAAUACAUGCAAGUCGAGCGAACAGACGAGGAGCUUGCUCCUCUGACGUUAGCGGCGGACGGGUGAGUAACACGUGGAUAACCUACCUAUAAGACUGGGAUAACUUCAGGAAACCGGAGCUAAUUCCGGAUAAUAUAUUGAACCGCAUGGUUCAAUAGUGAAAGACGGUUUUGCUGUCACUUAUAGAUGGAUCCGCGCCGCAUUAGCUAGUUGGUAAGGUAACGGCUUACCAAGGCAACGAUGCGUAGCCGACCUGAGAGGGUGAUCGGCCACACUGGAACUGAGACACGGUCCAGACUCCUACGGGAGGCAGCAGUAGGGAAUCUUCCGCAAUGGGCGAAAGCCUGACGGAGCAACGCCGCGUGAGUGAUGAAGGUCUUCGGAUCGUAAAACUCUGUUAUUAGGGAAGAACAAAUGUGUAAGUAACUAUGCACGUCUUGACGGUACCUAAUCAGAAAGCCACGGCUAACUACGUG